UCCCUCAGAAAUGGUAGUGUGCAAGCGGGGCUAGUGAUGUCUCGGUUUAAGGUGAGCUUCGUGCUCUGUCACUAAACACGUUGCAUAGUGAACCCCUUGAGCCCAACCUGCAAAAUGAGGGCUUCACAUUUUCCCAUAGCUUUCUCACUGGGGUUUGGAUUCUGAAUGCCAGGGACAGAGUAAAAGAGCAAUUUGUGUUGGUCACUGUCACAUGCACUUAACACUUGGGUUCCUCAGGGAGGACUCAGAGAUUAAGGCAAAUCCCCCUCAAGCCCUUUUUGCUAUGUGGUGUGAACUGGCAUACCUGCAAUGAUGUUGUCCAGGAGAGUGGUGGGCAUGCAGAAGAUUCCCACCAGUAAAUCGCUGACAGCCAGGUUUAAGAUGAAAAGAUUUGUGACUGUACGCAUGUGUUUGCUCCUCAGAACAAUAUAGCAAACCACUCCGUUGCCAACCAUACAAAGCAGGAAGAUUAAGAGGUAUGAGACGAUGAAGACAGCUGCCACUGAAGGUUGAUGAAGGUAGAAGUCCACGUAGGAGACGUUGCCUUCGAAGUAGAGAAGUAGUGCUUUAAGGAAGAUAUUCCAGUUUGGGGAAGCUUGCGUUUGCCUCACAUUGUGUUCCCAGUCCUCAUGACAGACAGGACCUGUGCUGUCAUGAGGCAGCACUACCAAUGAGAAUCCUCUGGGGGCUUAGAAGAGGAAACAAUGAUAAGGAAACUUUGAAAAACUUAAAGACAGACAUUAGGGAAAAAGAAAAUGUACUGUGGAAGAAGUCCUCAACAGCCGGAGAUCAAGUUCCAGCCUGAGGUUCAUGAAGCAUGCAACAGGCAGAAGUGCAGAAACUUCCCAAUAAAACACAGCAUCUGGAUUUGCCAAGUUAAAUGCCACAAGCAAAAGUGUCUUUGUCAAGAAAAGAUUUCAUUAUGGAGUACAGUUAACUUCUUGGAACUUGUUACAAAGUAUGUUUUAACUUGAUAUUGCACUUAAUGUCAUUUUCCACUACAAGCAGAAAUGCUUAGUCUGUACUAAUUCAUAAAUACCCUUAGAGUUUGUACGUAGCAAUUCCAAAUAGAGUACUUUGGAAGUUAACAUUUCCUUUACCUUUUCAUACAUCUUAGUUUCAUGGUCAUUUGUACAAAAUACCUAUGAUUUUCUUAUCUCAAAUUAAAUACUGAGUAUGUCACAAGGAAAGGGCAGGCUUUCAGCUAAGAAAAAAGCUAUGAUAGAAAAGACUAAAACCAUCAAGUUGAAACAGAAAAUUGAUUCUUACUGCCAUAUAUGUCCAGGAACCAAAAGUAUGAGAAAUUUUUUUCUCGUUGCAUAAGUGGACAAUUCCUGGGAGACAUACCAAGCUUGAGAUUCCAUGCAGAGCUCUAAUGAAUGGGCUUGAACUGUCUGUCUUCUAACAGUCAUCUGGGAAAUCUGAGUUGGGACCAAAGGAAAUAUUUUGUCAGAUUUAUUGGGUUGGUUGUUUUUUUCCUUAUUGUUGUUUUUCAUCUUACUUUUCCUGCCCUAAUUACAAAGGGCAAUGCUAUCAGUAGGAGUGCUGUAAUAGACAAAACAACUUAACUGUCAAUUACUCAUCCACUUAGGCAAGGAUUAUAAAACCCUUUGCCAAAAAGCCAGAUUCAAAUGUAAAUCAAAGGAUGGUAUAGCAGGUGAGGCAUUCACAGCAAGUUUGUUGUGUGUCUUGAGCACAUCAAAUUUUCACUUUGCUUCAUAUUUCUAGCAUUCAAAUAUUGCACAGCUUAAAUCAAAUAACAUUUUUAUUGCCACACUGAAUGAAGAAUAUGAAUGCUGAAAAUUUACAAUAGGAAAGCCUCGCUCUAACCAACCAUUUUCUGCCUUUUGCUAUUAGGUGACCUUAAGGCACCCAUGUGCAUUCUCUUUAAACGUGACUUCUACCACUUUGCCCAGAAAGAUUCCAGAUGUGAAGUUCCCAGUUAGAGUAUAGGUCAAACCUGGGAUAAAAGCUGGUCAGUUAACUUGUUUGGCUUUUUUAUCCAUCAUGAAGCUGCAUGCCAUGCCACACAGGAGACAACAGGGACUAAUAGGAUAAACACAGAUACAGUGACAGGGCUUUUGUGUUAGCUGAUAGGGUUCUUGGUUACACAGUAAAGUGUGAUUACUUAAUGCUUUGAUAGCAAAGGCACACAAAGUGUUUUAUGUGUACAUGUUAUAUUUGAUGGCUGUACAUUACCAUACGUGAAUUGAUAGACAAGUAGAGUUUAG
Long non-coding RNA from Cygnus olor (mute swan), 2231 nucleotides. RefSeq lists it as uncharacterized. The transcript is spliced from 4 exons. Lineage: Eukaryota; Metazoa; Chordata; Aves; Anseriformes; Anatidae. The record is from RefSeq and is a predicted model, not a curated record.